RNAcentral lists this unclassified non-coding RNA (230 nucleotides) under Hevea brasiliensis (rubber tree). The record is from RNAcentral. Lineage: Eukaryota; Viridiplantae; Streptophyta; Magnoliopsida; Malpighiales; Euphorbiaceae.
GGAGAAUAUCCCACCAAACUCAUGGUUGGUGUUUGAUAUUGAAUUGAUUGGAGUCCGUGGGUAAUUCAGCUUAACUUAUCAUUCCUGGAAGGAAAGUCACCUAUGCAGAACUUAUCUUUUCCUCUUGAAAUUUGAGACUUGAACUGUCUAUUGACAUUGGCGCUGAGGCAGGAUUCAGACAGAGAGAUAGAAACUUGGGGCACUUUCUUCAUUACCAGGAUGGAGUGGCC